This 440-nucleotide ribosomal RNA is filed under the name uncultured bacterium. Its description in RNAcentral is "partial 16S ribosomal RNA". It matches the Rfam family "Bacterial small subunit ribosomal RNA", at positions 338 to 795 of the family's 1533-position model. The record is from RNAcentral.
CCUACGGGUGGCAGCAGUAGGGAAUAUUGCUCAAUGGGGGAAACCCUGAAGCAGCAACGCCGCGUGGGGGAUGAAGGUUUUCGGAUUGUAAACUCCUUUUGUUAGAGAAGAUAAUGACGGUAUCUAACGAAUAAGCACCGGCUAACUACGUGCCAGCAGCCGCGGUAAUACGGAGGGUGCAAGCGUUACUCGGAAUCACUGGGCGUAAAGAGCGCGUAGGCGGGAGAGCAAGUCAGAUGUGAAAUCCUAUGGCUUAACCAUAGAAAUGCAUUUGAAACUGUUAUUCUAGAGUAUGGGAGAGGUAGGUGGAAUUCUUGGUGUAGGGGUAAAAUGCGUAGAGAUCAAGAGGAAUACUCAUUGCGAAGGCGACCUGCUAGAACGUAACUGACGCUGAUGCGCGAAAGCGUGGGGAGCAAACAGGAUUAGAUACCCCUGUAGUC